Molecule: transfer RNA, 62 nt
Filed under: Nitrospirae bacterium CG22_combo_CG10-13_8_21_14_all_44_11
Lineage: Bacteria; Pseudomonadati; Nitrospirota
Description: tRNA-Lys
Rfam family: tRNA
About the family: Transfer RNA (tRNA) molecules are approximately 80 nucleotides in length.
Source: RNAcentral
GUUAGCUCAGUUGGUAGAGCAGCUGACUCUUAAUCAGCGGGUCGCAGGUUCGAAUCCUGCAC